Molecule: ribosomal RNA, 458 nt
Filed under: uncultured bacterium
Lineage: Bacteria
Description: bacterial SSU rRNA
Rfam family: Bacterial small subunit ribosomal RNA
Source: RNAcentral
GAUCAUGGCUCAGAACGAACGCUGGCGGCAUGCCUAACACAUGCAAGUCGAACGAGACCUUCGGGUCUAGUGGCGCACGGGUGCGUAACGCGUGGGAAUCUGCCCUUCGGUUGGGAAUAACACAGAGAAAUUUGUGCUAAUACCUUAUAAUGUCUUCGGACCAAAGAUUUAUCGCCGAGGGAUGAGCCCGCGUAGGAUUAGGUAGUUGGUGGGGUAAUGGCCUACCAAGCCGACGAUCCUUAGCUGGUCUGAGAGGAUGAUCAGCCACACUGGGACUGAGACACGGCCCAGACUCCUACGGGAGGCAGCAGUGGGGAAUAUUGGACAAUGGGCGAAAGCCUGAUCCCAGCAAUGCCGCGUGAGUGAUGAAGGCCUUAGGGUUGUAAAGCUCUUUUACCCGGGAUGAUAAUGACAGUACCGGGAGAAUAAGCUCCGGCUAACUACGUGCCAGCCGCCGC